RNAcentral lists this ribosomal RNA (1482 nucleotides) under uncultured bacterium. RNAcentral's name for it is "bacterial SSU rRNA". It matches the Rfam family "Bacterial small subunit ribosomal RNA". The record is from RNAcentral.
AACGAACGCUGGCGGCGUGCCUAACACAUGCAAGUCGAGCGAGAAAGUCCCGGCAACGGGAUGAGUAAAGCGGCAAACGGGUGAGUAACGCGUGGGUAAUCUACCCUACGGAUCGGGAUAACCUGCCGAAAGGUGGACUAAUACCGGAUGAUGUUCUCGCGGUGAUUCCGUGGGAACCAAAGGGGGCGAGCGUAAGCAGCUCUCACCGAAGGAGGAGCCUGCGUCCGAUUAGCUAGUUGGUGGGGUAAUGGCCUACCAAGGCGACGAUCGGUAGCCGGCCUGAGAGGGCGAUCGGCCACACUGGAACUGAGACACGGUCCAGACUCCUACGGGAGGCAGCAGUGGGGAAUAUUGCGCAAUGGGCGAAAGCCUGACGCAGCGACGCCGCGUGGGUGAUGAAGGCCUUCGGGUCGUAAGCCCUGUCUGGUGGAACGAAACGCCUGGCGGCUAAUACCUGCCGGGUUUGACGGUACCACCGAAGGAAGCCCCGGCUAACUACGUGCCAGCAGCCGCGGUAAGACGUAGGGGGCGAGCGUUGUUCGGAUUUACUGGGCGUAAAGCGCGCGUAGGCGGCCAGAUAAGUCGGGUGUGAAAGCCCUCGGCUCAACCGAGGUUCCACAUCCGAUACUGCUUGGCUGGAGUCUAGGAGAGGAGAGCGGAAUUCCCAGUGUAGCGGUGAAAUGCGUAGAUAUUGGGAGGAACACCCGUGGCGAAGGCGGCUCUCUGGACUAGUACUGACGCUGAGGCGCGAAAGCUAGGGGAGCGAACGGGAUUAGAUACCCCGGUAGUCCUAGCCGUAAACGAUGGGCACUAGGUGUGGGAGGUAUUGACCCCUUCCGCGCCGAAGCUAACGCAUUAAGUGCCCCGCCUGGGGAGUACGGCCGCAAGGCUAAAACUCAAAGGAAUUGACGGGGGCCCGCACAAGCGGUGGAGCAUGUGGUUCAAUUCGACGCAACGCGAAGAACCUUACCAGGGCUUGACAUCCCACGAACCUGCCUGAAAGGGCGGGGUGCCCGCAAGGGAGCGUGGAGACAGGUGGUGCAUGGCUGUCGUCAGCUCGUGUCGUGAGAUGUUGGGUUAAGUCCCGCAACGAGCGCAACCCUCACCCCUAGUUGCCACCGGGUAAUGCCGAGCACUCGAGGGGAACUGCCAGCGUCAAGCUGGAGGAAGGCGGGGAUGACGUCAAGUCAUCAUGCCCCUUACGCCCUGGGCUACACACGUGCUACAAUGGCCGGUACAAAGGGAUGCGAGACCGUGAGGUGGAGCCAAUCCCAAAAAGCUGGUCUAAGUUCGGAUUGCAGUCUGCAACUCGACUGCAUGAAGUAGGAAUCGCUAGUAAUCGCGCAUCAGCACGGCGCGGUGAAUACGUUCCCGGGCCUUGUACACACCGCCCGUCACACCACGAAAGCUGGCUGUACUCGAAGUCGCUGAGCCAACCCGCAAGGGAGGCAGGCGCCGAAGGUAUGGUUAGUGAUUGGGGUG